GAUGAACGCUGGCGGCGUGCCUAAUACAUGCAAGUCGAGCGAACAGACGAGGCGCUUGCUCCUCUGACGUUAGCGGCGGACGGGUGAGUAACACGUGGAUCACCUACCUAUAAGACUGGGAUAACUUCGGGAAACCGGCGCUAAUACCGUAUAAUAUCUUGCACCGCAUGGUUCAAUAGUGAAAGACGGUUUUGCUGUCACUUAUAGAUGGAUCUGAGCUGCAUUAGCUAGUUGGUAAGGUAAAGGCUUACCAAGGCAACGAUGCGUAGCCGACCUGAGAGGGUGAUCGGCCACACUGGAACUGAGACACGGUCCAGACUCCUACGGGAGGCAGCAGUAGGGAAUCUUCCGCAAUGGGCGAAAGCCUUACGGAGCAACGCCGCGUGAGUGAUGAAGGUCUUCGGAUCGUAAAACUCUGUUAUUAGGGAAGAACAAAUGUGUAAGUAACUAUGCACGUCUUGACGGUACCUAAUCAGAAAGCCACGGCUAACUACGUG
RNAcentral lists this ribosomal RNA (497 nucleotides) under uncultured bacterium. RNAcentral describes it as "partial 16S ribosomal RNA". It matches the Rfam family "Bacterial small subunit ribosomal RNA", at positions 28 to 507 of the family's 1533-position model. The record is from RNAcentral.